CCUACGGGUGGCAGCAGUGGGGAAUAUUGGGCAAUGGGCGCAAGCCUGACCCAGCAACGCCGCGUGGAGGAAGAAGGCUUUCGGGUUGUAACCUUCUUUUCUCAGGGACGAAGAAAGUGACGCGACCUGAGGAAUAAGCCACGGCUAACUACGUGCCUGCAGCCGCGGUAAUACGGAGGUUGCAAGCGUUAUCCGGAUUUAUUGGGUGUAAGGGGUGUUUAGGCGGGAGCUCAAGUCAGAUGUGAAAUCGCCGGGCUCAACCCUGAGCCUGCCUUUGAACCUGGGUUUCUUGAGUGCUGGAGAGGCAAGCGGAAUUCCGGGUGUAGCGGUGAAAUGCGUAGAUAUACGGAGGAACACCAGGGGCGAAGGCGGAUUGCUGGACAGUAACUGACGCUGAGGCGCGAAAGCGUGGGGAGCAAACAGGAUUAGAUACCCCUGUAGUC
Molecule: ribosomal RNA, 443 nt
Filed under: uncultured bacterium
Lineage: Bacteria
Description: partial 16S ribosomal RNA
Rfam family: Bacterial small subunit ribosomal RNA
Source: RNAcentral